CAAGGAGGGGUGCCUAUUUUGCAAUUGGCUGAGAUUAUACCCAUUGACCUGAUCGGGGUAAUGCCCGCGUAGGGAUUAUUUGGA
Molecule: non-coding RNA, 84 nt
Filed under: bovine gut metagenome
Description: TPP riboswitch (THI element)
Rfam family: TPP riboswitch aptamer (THI element) (bases 6-75)
About the family: Vitamin B(1) in its active form thiamin pyrophosphate (TPP) is an essential coenzyme that is synthesised by coupling of pyrimidine and thiazole moieties in bacteria. The previously detected thiamin-regulatory element, thi box was extended, resulting in a new, highly conserved RNA secondary structure, the THI element, which is widely distributed in eubacteria and also occurs in some archaea.
Source: RNAcentral